Non-coding RNA from Otolemur garnettii (small-eared galago), 115 nucleotides. The record is from Rfam. Lineage: Eukaryota; Metazoa; Chordata; Mammalia; Primates; Galagidae.
GUGUGUUCACUUCAACAGCACAUAUACUAUUCAUAAAACUGGGGCAAUAUAGAGAAAAUUAGCAUGAGUCCUGCAUAAAGAUGAUGUGCAAAUACAUGAAGCUUUCCUUAUUUUU